UCAGUUUUCUGAUCCCCAGACUGUACUGGCCAUGUACCCAAGUAUCAACACUCCAGGGGGUUCUGGGCUGUGCUGGUGCUGAUGGAUGGAGAGAAGUCAGCAAAGCAGACCUUCAUUCUGAGGCUGUACUGAAAUCCAGCGGUUGAGUGCCCCCUGGUCCUGUUCUCCACAACCAAGACAGACCCACAUAGGGGAGAGAAAAGAUGAAACUCAAGCCUUGAGGCCAGAUGACUUGCACUAGAGAAAACAAGCAGGUUGAGGACCUCUACAGACUUGGCCCUGAGCGCAGAAGCUGUGAAGCCAGGUAAGGUGGAAAAAGGAGGUAAACUUCAAAGAGCCAAGAGGCUUUGGCAAUCUCCAUUCUGCUGGCACAUAAAAACCUCAGAAUCCAGCCCAGCCAAAGGCCUGGAAAGGAAGCACAAAAGAAUGAAAACUAACGGGAGCCUCGGUCAAGGUGUGAGUGUAAGGGUCAUUGAUCCUGGGUAGCACUCCCUGCCUUUAUUUCUUGAUGCUCACUCUUCUGAGGUUUAACCUUACA
RNAcentral lists this long non-coding RNA (538 nucleotides) under Sus scrofa (pig). Its description in RNAcentral is "lncRNA (ENSSSCG00070021851.1)". The record is from RNAcentral. Lineage: Eukaryota; Metazoa; Chordata; Mammalia; Artiodactyla; Suidae.